This 427-nucleotide ribosomal RNA is filed under the name uncultured prokaryote. RNAcentral's name for it is "bacterial SSU rRNA". It matches the Rfam family "Bacterial small subunit ribosomal RNA", at positions 355 to 774 of the family's 1533-position model. The record is from RNAcentral.
UGGGGAAUAUUGGACAAUGGGCGAAAGCCUGAUCCAGCAAUGCCGCGUGUGUGAAGAAGGCCUUCGGGUUGUAAAGCACUUUCAGCAGGGAGGAAAGCUUUAGGGUUAAUAACCCUGAGGGGUGACGUUACCUGCAGAAGAAGCACCGGCUAACUCUGUGCCAGCAGCCGCGGUAAUACAGAGGGUGCAAGCGUUAAUCGGAAUUACUGGGCGUAAAGCGCUCGUAGGCGGAUUCUUAAGUCGAUUGUGAAAGCCCUGGGCUUAACCUGGGAACUGCAGUCGAUACUGGGUAUCUAGAGUAUGGUAGAGGAUAGUGGAAUUCCCGGUGUAGCAGUGAAAUGCGUAGAUAUCGGGAGGAACACCAGUGGCGAAGGCGACUUUCUGGACCAAUACUGACGCUGAGGAGCGAAAGCGUGGGGAGCAAACA